CAGCCGUAAACUAUGCGCGUUAGGUGUAUCGGUGACCACGAGUUACCGAGGUGCCGAAGGGAAACCGUGAAACGUGCCGCCCGGGAAGUACGGUCGCAAGGCUGAAACUUAAAGGAAUUGGCGGGGGAGCACCACAACAGGUGGAGCCUGCGGUUUAAUUGGAUUCAACACCGUAAAACUCACCAGGGAAGACUGUUACAUGAAGGCCGAGAUGAAGACUCUGCUAGAUUUUCAGAGAGGAGGUGCAUGGCGUC
Molecule: ribosomal RNA, 254 nt
Filed under: uncultured archaeon
Lineage: Archaea
Description: partial 16S ribosomal RNA
Rfam family: Archaeal small subunit ribosomal RNA
Source: RNAcentral